RNAcentral lists this long non-coding RNA (209 nucleotides) under Nicotiana benthamiana. Its description in RNAcentral is "long non-coding RNA (NBEN_LNC029036)". The record is from RNAcentral. Lineage: Eukaryota; Viridiplantae; Streptophyta; Magnoliopsida; Solanales; Solanaceae.
UAAUAUCAAGCAUUUUACUUGGUUCUUAACUCAUAGAAGACUCUCCACCAGGAGCUUUCUACAAUUUAUUGGAAUAAACAGCCCCCUCAUUGCCACUUCUGUGGAUUUGAAUAGUAAUACAUUGACCAUAUCUUUUUUCUCUGUCCCAAUACUGCGUAUUACUGGAAUGUUAUCUUGUCAAAAUCAUUAGCUUCCACACCCUCAAAUAC